RNAcentral lists this small nucleolar RNA (107 nucleotides) under Citrus sinensis (sweet orange). Its description in RNAcentral is "Plant small nucleolar RNA R71". It matches the Rfam family "Plant small nucleolar RNA R71". Rfam says of the family: R71 is a member of the C/D box family of snoRNAs containing the C (UGAUGA) and D (CUGA) box motifs. Multiple nearly identical copies of this snoRNA have been identified in Arabidopsis, and it is thought to function as a 2'-O-ribose methylation guide for 18S ribosomal RNA. Lineage: Eukaryota; Viridiplantae; Streptophyta; Magnoliopsida; Sapindales; Rutaceae. The record is from Rfam by way of RNAcentral.
AUACCAUGAUGAGGACACCUGCUGAGCAAUUCCUUGAAUCUUUCCCUAGUCUCGUACAAACUUUUAUCUUCAAGUUGAUGGAAAGAAGUAAUCUUAUUCCGCAACUU